GGGACGACCAGAAACGAAGAUGACGAGCAACGGCGACGACGAGCAACGACGACGAGCAACGACCACCGACGACGACCGAAGCUAAACCGUAAGAAAAUGAAUCAGUACUCUCUUCGAUUUUAGGUUUUACACCGACGACGGUUCUAGUACUGUUUUUGCCUUUUGGUUUCUGGUUGUUUGUAGCAAAUUUUGACCAGAAACUGCAAUGCAGUUUCUGGUUCCAUAAUUUAAUUUUAGAGUGCUUUUUGCUAGGAUUUAUGGGAAUGUUAUAACUGCUCAUGAAGUUAAAUGUGUUUUGAU
This 300-nucleotide long non-coding RNA is filed under the name Prunus persica (peach). RNAcentral describes it as "long non-coding RNA (PPER_LNC006906)". The record is from RNAcentral. Lineage: Eukaryota; Viridiplantae; Streptophyta; Magnoliopsida; Rosales; Rosaceae.